CCUACGGGAGACUGCAGUGGGGAAUAUUGCACAAUGGGGGAAACCCUGAUGCAGCGACGCCGCGUGAGCGAUGAAGUAUUUCGGUAUGUAAAGCUCUAUCAGCAGGGAAGAAAAUGACGGUACCUGACUAAGAAGCCCCGGCUAACUACGUGCCAGCAGCCGCGGUAAUACGUAGGGGGCAAGCGUUAUCCGGAUUUACUGGGGGUAAAGGGAGCGUAGACGGCAGCGCAAGUCUGGAGUGAAAUGCCGGGGCCCAACCGCGGAACUGCUCUGGAAACUGUGGAGCUGGAGUGCAGGAGAGGUAAGCGGAAUGCCUGGUGUAGCGGUGAAAUGCGUAGAUAUCAGGAGGAACACCGGCGGCGAAGGCGGCUUACUGGAGUGUAACUGACGUUGAGGCUCGAAGGCGUGGGGAGCGAACAGGAUUAGAUACCCGAGUAGUC
RNAcentral lists this ribosomal RNA (440 nucleotides) under uncultured bacterium. RNAcentral's name for it is "partial 16S ribosomal RNA". It matches the Rfam family "Bacterial small subunit ribosomal RNA", at positions 338 to 795 of the family's 1533-position model. The record is from RNAcentral.